AACGAACGCUGGCGGCAUGCCUAACACAUGCAAGUCGAACGAGACCUUCGGGUCUAGUGGCGCACGGGUGCGUAACGCGUGGGAACCUACCCUUAGGUUCGGAAUAACUCCCCGAAAGGGGUGCUAAUACCGGAUAAUGUCUUCGGACCAAAGAUUUAUCGCCUUUGGAUGGGCCCGCGUUGGAUUAGCUAGUUGGUAGGGUAAAAGCCUACCAAGGCGACGAUCCAUAGCUGGUCUGAGAGGAUGAUCAGCCACACUGGGACUGAGACACGGCCCAGACUCCUACGGGAGGCAGCAGUGGGGAAUAUUGGACAAGGGGCGAAAGCCUGAUCCAGCAAUGCCGCGUGAGUGAUGAAGGCCUUAGGGUUGUAAAGCUCUUUUACCCGGGAUGAUAAUGACAGUACCGGGAGAAUAAGCUCCGGCUAACUCCGUG
This 433-nucleotide ribosomal RNA is filed under the name uncultured bacterium. RNAcentral's name for it is "partial 16S ribosomal RNA". It matches the Rfam family "Bacterial small subunit ribosomal RNA", at positions 29 to 507 of the family's 1533-position model. The record is from RNAcentral.